CCUACGGGAGGCAGCAGUCGAGAAUCAUUCGCAAUGGGGGAAACCCUGAUGGUGCGACGCCGCGUGGGGGAAUGAAGGUCUUCGGAUUUUAAACCCCUGUCAUGUGGGGGCAAAUUAAAAAGAUAGUACCACAAGAGGAAGAGACGGCUAACGCGGUGACAGCCGCCGCGGUAAUACAGAGGGCUCAAGCGUUGUUCGGAAUCACUGGCGGUAAAGCGUGCGUAGGCGGGUUCGUAAGUCGUGGGUGAAAGGCGCGGGAUUAACCCGCGGACUGCACAUGAUACUGCGAGACUAGAGUAAUGGAGGGGGAACCGGAAUUCUCGGUGUAGCAGUGAAAUGCGUAGAUAUCGAGAGGAACACUCGUGGCGAAGGCGGGUCCAUGGACAUUAACUGACGCUGAGGUACGAAGGCCAGGGGAGCGAAAGGGAUUAGAUACCCCUGUAGUC
RNAcentral lists this ribosomal RNA (446 nucleotides) under uncultured bacterium. RNAcentral's name for it is "partial 16S ribosomal RNA". It matches the Rfam family "Bacterial small subunit ribosomal RNA", at positions 338 to 795 of the family's 1533-position model. The record is from RNAcentral.